UAAGCGGAGGAAAAGAAACCAACAGGGAUUGCCCCAGUAACGGCGAGUGAAGCGGCAAAAGCUCAAAUUUGAAAUCCUGCGGGAAUUGUAAUUUGAAGGUUUCGUGGUCUGAGUCGGCCGCGCCCAAGUCCAUUGGAACAUGGCGCCUGGGAGGGUGAGAGCCCCGUAUGGCGCACGCCGACUCUUUGCACCGCGGCUCCGACGAGUCGAGUUGUUUGGGAAUGCAGCUCUAAGUGGGUGGUAAAUUCCAUCUAAAGCUAAAUAUUGGCGAGAGACCGAUAGCGAACAAGUACAGUGAUGGAAAGAUGAAAAGCACUUUGAAAAGAGAGUGAAACAGCACGUGAAAUUGUUGAAAGGGAAGGGCUUGCAAGCAGACACGGUUUUACCGGGCCAGCGUCGAAAAGGGGGGAGGAACAAGAACUCGAGAAUGUGGCGCGCACCUUCGGGCGCGCGUGUUAUAGCUCGUGUUGACGCCUCCAUCCCUUUUCGAGGCCUGCGAUUCUAGGACGCUGGCGUAAUGGUUGCAAGCCGCCCGUCUUG
This 540-nucleotide ribosomal RNA is filed under the name Clavispora lusitaniae. RNAcentral's name for it is "eukaryotic LSU rRNA". It matches the Rfam family "Eukaryotic large subunit ribosomal RNA", at positions 47 to 656 of the family's 3401-position model. The record is from RNAcentral. Lineage: Eukaryota; Fungi; Ascomycota; Pichiomycetes; Serinales; Metschnikowiaceae.